UUUGUGCCGGCCGACACUG
RNAcentral lists this unclassified non-coding RNA (19 nucleotides) under Chlamydomonas reinhardtii. RNAcentral describes it as "small RNA Cre_4165". The record is from RNAcentral. Lineage: Eukaryota; Viridiplantae; Chlorophyta; Chlorophyceae; Chlamydomonadales; Chlamydomonadaceae.